This is a non-coding RNA of Arachis ipaensis, 2073 nucleotides long. The record is from RefSeq and is a predicted model, not a curated record. Lineage: Eukaryota; Viridiplantae; Streptophyta; Magnoliopsida; Fabales; Fabaceae.
UUUUAUUAAAAUCUUUUUUUAUAACAAUUAGAGAGAGAAGAACAAAAUUCACGGACACCCCCUUUCUCUUAGCAACCUAACCAUAAACGCAAUCAACCAUCACCAUCCCUCAUCGCCAAACUCUUCUCCUCUAGUAGAGGAUGCUGUCGCCACCGAUGGAGACAGAUCGUGAGUGUCAUCACACUCUUCUCAUCGCCGAACUCUUCUUAGCUCUCAUCGUUCCUCUUCUCUCUCUCUCUCUCUGCGAAACAAUGAAGAAGGUGAGGAAUCGCCGAAGGUAUAUUCGCCAAGAACACCGACACCGGAGACAGCAUUGACAUUAAGGUCAUGGCUAAAUCCACCAUUCUCAAGCAUAGAAUGGUUGAACAGGUUGAAUUUAUAUCAGCCACAAAUACAAGGAAGAUGUGAAACUCAUGGUGGGAACAGGCCUUGAUGCUUAUAGGUUAUCCAUUUCUUGGUCAAGAUUGAUUCCAAAAGAGACUUCAUAAAUUAUGCAGAAGUGUGUUUCAGAGAGUUCGGUGACAGAGUCUUAUAUUGGAAUACUAUGAACGAGCCGAACGUGUUCACCAUAGGUGGUUAUGAUCAAGAAACAACCCCACCUAUACGAUAUUCGCCCCCAUUUUGCCAGAAAUAUAAUAGCAGUAGGGGUGACUCCACAACUGAGCCUUAGUUCGCAGUUCAUCAUAUUUUGCUAUCACAUUCUUCAGUAGUGAGAUUGUAUAGAAGAAAGUUUACUAAAUUGUUCUUUUUUUCUUUCUUAGUAAUGUUAAAUAACUGAACUUGAUUCUCAUUUGAUUGUGGUAAGUUGCUUCAUUUCUUUUUCUUUUUUCACUUGUUAUUUCAAAAGUUUUUGAAUUCUUUCUGUGGCUUCUUCAAUGGUGUUCUACUGUUACCCUUGUUCUUUUUAUCGGCCCAGAGUUCUGUUCCCAACUGAUUUUAAUGCAUAUGUUUAGUUUCUCUUUAUUUUAAUCUUCCUGUUCCAUCUUCCAUGACAAUUAGUGAUUUAGUGGAUUUUACUCGACUAUAACUUGGCGAUGAAUGACUGGCUUUUCUGCAGUUGAGUCCUUACAAGAUGCCUUGAAGCAAUUAUAUCUGAUUGAUGCUAUUGAUGAAAAUGGUGCAAUUACAAGUAUUGGACAGAAAAUGGCUGAGCUUCCAUUAGAACCUUCCUUAUCACGAACCUUGAUGGAGGCAAAUGAUUAUGGUUGCAUACCUAAGGCUUUGACUGUUGCUGCCAUGUUAUCAGCUGAAACUACAUUGCUACCAGGGUGGAGGUCAACAGACACAAAGGAAUUCAUCACUUCAAGAUGUGACAAGAGUGGAAUACUUGCAUGUAUAUAUUGGUGCUGUGCUUGAUUCCAUAAGAGCUUCAUUAAGAUUAUGUUUGCAUAUAUCCUGAAGACAUAUCUCUUGGCUUAGUUUUACAGGUACUUACUAGAUUAAUUGUGGUCAUAAAAUAAUUUUUAAUAUAUAUGAAUUGAUGUUUAUAAAUUUAUUUUUUUUAAAAGAGUAAUGGUGUUGUGCGAAAGUUUCAUGAGUAAUGAUCUUCUGAGUAGGUUUACAAUUGAAGGCUUGAACAUUCACAUUAAUUAGACUGCAGCAGCCUUUAAUGAUUGAUUCAUUCAUUCAAAUUGUAAAUGGAAGGUUUCAGAAUGAACUUGGUAAUCUCAUGGUCCCUCAAUUCAAUAAAUAUUUUUAAUUGUUAUUGACAAGUUCUUCCCACUGUGUUACAAAUGUUAACCAUUUAUAAGCAUUACUCUCUUUUUUAUUGUCAAUACUAAUGUCUAACUAUUUAAUUCUUAUUAAAAUUUGUAUCAAAGUCAAACCAGGUACACAUGAGCACUCUCUUUUCUAUUCAAAGUUUCACCCACCUAAAGAAAGUUUUAGAAGAUGACUCGUCAAGUGGCAAUUCAUCGCUAAUCAGCAGCAAUUCUGACUUAGGUUCUUGCAGGAUUGAUAUAGUUAUAGCCUUGUAGUAUUUCUUGUUUAGAUUUGUAAUAUAAUAUAUUACUUUUCAAGGAAAUUUUGUGUAUCAAUAUUUUGAGAUUAAUGAAAUAUCUCAUUUUGUAGUAA